GCGGAUGUGGCGAAAUUGGCAUACGCACUGGUUUUAGGUACCAGCGCCUCACGGCAUGAUGGUUCGAGUCCAUUCAUCCGCA
Molecule: transfer RNA, 82 nt
Filed under: Pseudo-nitzschia americana
Lineage: Eukaryota; Bacillariophyta; Bacillariophyceae; Bacillariales; Bacillariaceae
Also listed under: 1 other name
Description: tRNA-Leu
Rfam family: tRNA
About the family: Transfer RNA (tRNA) molecules are approximately 80 nucleotides in length. Their secondary structure includes four short double-helical elements and three loops (D, anti-codon, and T loops). Further hydrogen bonds mediate the characteristic L-shaped molecular structure. tRNAs have two regions of fundamental functional importance: the anti-codon, which is responsible for specific mRNA codon recognition, and the 3' end, to which the tRNAs corresponding amino acid is attached (by aminoacyl-tRNA synthetases). tRNAs cope with the degeneracy of the genetic code in two manners: having more than one tRNA (with a specific anti-codon) for a particular amino acid; and 'wobble' base-pairing, i.e. permitting non-standard base-pairing at the 3rd anti-codon position.
Source: RNAcentral